GAAUGCGUUCGAAUGCGGCGGGUGUUGUGCAAACUCGUCCGGCUCAGCGAGAGAGUUUUUGUUUUAGCCUUCAUCCCAUUCUGGCUGGAUUUUCGCUACAUCGUGUAAAAUUAAUUGAAUGUAGCUGCUGCUGCUGAGACCAGAUGGCCAAAAACGGAUGUCUAACAAAGGGAGUGAGCGAGCGAGCGAGCGAGAGGGGAAAGAGAGUGAGCGAGGCGGAACACGUCUGGACCUCUGGCCAGCCACUGGGCCAUAUAAUUUAGAUGCCACGAAAAGCUACUUAAAUGCUCGAGAAAACACCGAAUCAGAGAGUCGUAACAAUGCGGUUUUCUAGGAGGACGGAGUGGGACAGCUUAAAUUAUUUUAUUGCUGACACUAUUAAGACUUAGA
This is a long non-coding RNA of Drosophila willistoni, 390 nucleotides long. RefSeq lists it as uncharacterized. Lineage: Eukaryota; Metazoa; Arthropoda; Insecta; Diptera; Drosophilidae. The record is from RefSeq and is a predicted model, not a curated record. The transcript has 3 exons.